AAGUCGUAACAAGGUUUCCGUAGGUGAACCUGCGGAAGGAUCAUUACAAAUCUAGUUGAUAUAUGUUGUCAUGGGUGGCUCGCAAGGGUUGUUGAUGGCAAUGUGUAUUGAUUUCUUGUGAACUGGUUCGCCUGUAUAGCAAUAUAUGGGUGAAUGUAUUUAAUUACUUGUAUUUUUUAUUAUUUCGAUACAAAAGUAUUGAAACUAAUAUAAAGACAACUUUCAGCAAUGGAUCUCUUGGCUCUU
Molecule: unclassified non-coding RNA, 246 nt
Filed under: fungal sp.
Lineage: Eukaryota; Fungi
Description: partial internal transcribed spacer region
Rfam family: Eukaryotic small subunit ribosomal RNA (bases 1-46)
Source: RNAcentral